RNAcentral lists this ribosomal RNA (253 nucleotides) under uncultured prokaryote. RNAcentral's name for it is "partial 16S ribosomal RNA". It matches the Rfam family "Bacterial small subunit ribosomal RNA", at positions 524 to 776 of the family's 1533-position model. The record is from RNAcentral.
UACGUAGGGUGCGAGCGUUAAUCGGAAUUACUGGGCGUAAAGCGUGCGCAGGCGGUUCGCCAAGUCUGCUGUGAAAUCCCCGGGCUCAACCUGGGAAUGGCAGUGGAUACUGGCAAGCUAGAGUGCGGUAGAGGGUAGUGGAAUUCCCGGUGUAGCAGUGAAAUGCGUAGAGAUCGGGAGGAACACCAGUGGCGAAGGCGGCUACCUGGACCAGCACUGACACUGAAGCACGAAAGCGUGGGGAGCAAACAGG